Molecule: long non-coding RNA, 2619 nt
Organism: Pteropus alecto (black flying fox)
Lineage: Eukaryota; Metazoa; Chordata; Mammalia; Chiroptera; Pteropodidae
Exons: 3
Source: RefSeq, a predicted model, not a curated record
AGUUUAGUGGUGAUUCCCCUGUGACUCACGCGUGCUUUUGUUAAUCCCUUCACCAGCAAAUACUUGUUAAAUACUUAAAUCUUGCAAAUGGAAAGAAUUCCGCAGUAAAGUGUAAGGAGUCAUCCAAAACUCUGAGUCUUGGACGAGGCUGGUUCAAAAUAGUUCUACGUCGAAACUUAAUCUAUUAGAUUCAGUCAUAGCAAACUUACUGCUUUGAUAUUUGAAUCAAAUAUUUAAAUGCGGGAGUUUUCAUUUGGCGAUUGGUGAUACCGAUACGUGGACAGGGAAGAAAUCUCUUGAGAUAAAUAAACUUCACUGGGAAAUGGGCCCCUUGCUAAGUUCCCUUGUAGAAGUGACGCCUCCCUAGGUUGCAAACCUUUUCUCCUCUGCGGUUUCAGCUCCAGGAUAAACCAGUUCUGCGGCAUGCUUCCUACCUUUCCAGAGACGAUCCGAAUCAGCUUACCAGGGCUUUACAACCCCAUUGAUUCUUUCAUUGCUCAAAAGCCUCUUUCUUUUGAAAGCCAUUGUGUGAAUCAUAAAAUUAACAUCUAAAAAGACUUAGCAGCCAUCGAACCUGGGAAAGCUUGGAGAGUUUGGCCUUGCUAAGGGCACUUGGACUUGGAGAGGGCCUUUGCAGGUGGAAAAACCGUGGCUGCGGUGAGGCGAGGUCCCCAGGAUGGGGGCAGAGAGGGACCGUCCCUCCUUCCCCUCCCCCCCAGUUCUCAGGGACCGCUAAUCAGAGAGGCCCCUCCCACCCUCUGUGUUUCCUCUUUUCUCCCGCUGAGUUCUAAGCAGACACCAGCAAAUGUUUUUUUAAAAGAACGAGGGAAGCCUAUUUUAGUUACUUUCACUUCUCUAAAUUUUUGAUCAUUUCGGUCAGGUGUGAAAUAGUUUUGAAUUUACAAUUUCAAAUCUAUUUCACACGUUCUAUAAAAUGUUAGACUGUAGACAUUCUCUUUUUAGUGAAAGAGAAAAGACAGACUUUAGGAUUCAUGUUCAAAGUAUUUGAGGGCUCAGUUUAGCAUUCAAGAACGCUGCUGUGAGGUUUUCUACUUUUUUUGUGUUUGCCCUAGAUUUUUUUUUUUUUUUUUACCUCUUUUGUCUCCUAUAUAUUUCCAGCUCUUUGGACUUCUUUGAGGAGAAGGCUGUGAGGAUUGAAGAAAGCGAAAAUCUCUUCUCCAAUAAUUUAUCAUUAUCACGACUUCUGAUUAUUGAGUUUCUGGCAUCUUUUAACUCCUCGGGAAAAAAUCUGAGCCUAUGUGUACCCUUAGAAAUUCAGGUAAAUUCCUGCAGUUAGCGGCACAUCAGCGAACCUCAGUGACGGUCACAGGACAUCGAUCGUCCGUGCAUGGGGUUGCCACACAAGGCUGGCCAGAUUACACUUUCAAAUUCAUUUCCAGCACAUCUGCAGGCAGGAAAGGGACUUUGGAUGUGUGGUCAGGUUUGUUUUAGCCAUACAGUUGCUGCUCAGGAGAAGGGGGCGGACGUGAGACAGGACGGUCCAGGCCAGGAGGAGCCUGCUGCCUGUGAUGGGCAGGCGACUUGGACCGGGCUCCAGGUGGCUUGCCAUUCUUUUCUACUUUGGCCUGACGAGGAAACCCGUGAAGGGGCUUGUGAACGCUGGUCUUUAUUCCACUGCUCUGGGAAAAGCGUCAGCUCUCCUGCCUACACUUCAUCACCCAAUUCAGCACCCUACAGUUUGACUUCUGUCCUCAAGCUCCACUGAAGCACCCCGUCCACUCGUCCUCAUGCAGAUCCCAAGGCCCCCACCCCCAGCCAGGGCUCAGCAGCUCUGCGGCUGGUCUCACUCCCUUCGAGCUCCUGCGCUGUGGGACCACACUGCAGGCUUUUCCUUCUCUCUCUCUGGCUUCCAGUUUCUGGUCUUUUUGUCCUUUCCUUGGGGGUUCACAUUCCCAGACUGCAGGCUGCAUGAUCACCUGACUGGAGCGCCCAGCCCUCCAUUCACUGCCAGUGGAGCCUGGGGCAAGUCAUAGGACUCGCUUACUCUUCAGGUCCCUCCCGGCGAAAUGGGAUGAUACAGCACCCACCUCAUUUGGGAGAAGAUUAAGUGAGAUAAUGCUAACCUCAGGCCUUACACAGAGUCUCUCCCGAGGUGUUACCUCUUAGCAGUCCAAGCGCCGGCCUGGCCGCUGAAUACAGAGGUGAUGGACUAAUGUCCCAACUCCCUCUCGCAGACCGCAGAGGUGACCCUAGGACUCCAGGCUGGGACAUGGCAGCGAUGUGUCUCACCGAGAUGCCAUCUGGGGCUCUGGCCUGACCCGUGGGUCUACGCUGUCUCCUGAAGUUACUCCAACUCCUGAUCCUGGCAUCAGACCUCGUCCAUCCAUCCCUCGAGUGAAUUUGUCCAGUCACUCAUUGGAUCACCUCUGAGUGAGUUCCCACCUGGGGCCGGGUGCUGGGCUGGCUUCUAGGGGUAGACAGGGGAAUGAGACAGCCCAUGGCCCUCAGUCAGCUGCUGCGGGAGAUUCAGGAGGUAGCACUGCAUUUAUGAAGCGGGGAAGAAAGUGUGAUGACAUAUUCUGUAUUUGGAUUUAAAGACAGAAAUCGAACCCACGUUGAGAAACGAGUUCAAAGAGAAUGUCCAUGCAGAAUUAUUUC